RNAcentral lists this ribosomal RNA (497 nucleotides) under uncultured bacterium. RNAcentral describes it as "partial 16S ribosomal RNA". It matches the Rfam family "Bacterial small subunit ribosomal RNA", at positions 28 to 507 of the family's 1533-position model. The record is from RNAcentral.
GAUGAACGCUGGCGGCGUGCCUAAUACAUGCAAGUCGAGCGAACGGACGAGAAGCUUGCUCCUCUGAUGUUAGCGGCGGACGGGUGAGUAACACGUGGAUAACCUACCUAUAAGACUGGGAUAACUUCGGGAAACCGGAGCUAAUACCGGAUAAUAUUUUGAACCGCAUGGUUCAAAAGUAAAAGACGGUUUUGCUGUCACUUAUAGAUGGAUCCGCGCUGCAUUAGCUAGUUGGUAAGGUAACGGCUUACCAAGGCAACGAUGCAUAGCCGACCUGAGAGGGUGAUCGGCCACACUGGAACUGAGACACGGUCCAGACUCCUACGGGAGGCAGCAGUAGGGAAUCUUCCGCAAUGGGCGAAAGCCUGACGGAGCAACGCCGCGUGAGUGAUGAAGGUCUUCGGAUCGUAAAACUCUGUUAUUAGGGAAGAACAUAUGUGUAAGUAACUGUGCACGUCUUGACGGUACCUAAUCAGAAAGCCACGGCUAACUACGUG